CGGAAUUCUCCCAUCUUGUAGCCUAAGGGGAUAAUUGGCCCAUCUGGCUUCCAUUAACCCCGGUGGGGUGAGUUUGGGGUGAAUACCCCAUCACACUCUACUUCACUUAAGUAGUCACCAACUUGAAUGAUACUACAAUUGGACCCUAAGAGGCCAAUUUUCAAUUACAGAAAGAAAAAAAAAAGAGAGGAGAAAAUACAUGUUUAGGGAGGGCACCUUUACCUGAGCAGAAUAAACAGUUCCACACAGGACUAUGUUAAUGCACACGAGGUACCUUUUAGUUUGCGUCAGCAGGGUCUUCACAGGGCAGUUAAAGCACGUUAGAGCGUAAUUCACAUCCCUGUAGACCACACUGUGGCACCGUGUAGAGAAGCCCUGAGUGAGCAAACUAUGGUCCUACACAUUGUCUUGAGCACAGAAAGUACAACUCGUGUAACUGUCCUAUCAAGAAGCCAUCCAGAGCUCCUGUGGCUGUGUGUAUGUCCAUGCACUGAAUUCUGAGAUUAGCGUGUGGGGAAGCAAUGAGAAACCAAGGACAUACACCAACAACUUCAGCGGGAGAGCCACAGAGGUGAGGAUCAGCUGGGCCCAUGACACAGGUGGUGUUUACUGCCUUGCUGUAUCAUACAAAAUGAAGUGGAUCUCAUCGCUGGAGGGGCAUCUGGUUUCUGGCUGUCUUUGAUGCCUCCUCUUUAUUCCGGCACAGCAAUACAGCUGAACACUCACUGAGCUACGUGAAUAGGCCCUGGUGCAUCAGCCAUCCCCCUAGGGGGGAGGAGGGGAGCAAAUUCUGGAGGAGAUGUGGAAGGGGAACAAAUAACUUGGGGAUGAGUCUGUGGAUUAGAAGCAGCUCCCCCACUGUGUGGUCCCCUCUUCCAGUAUCCUCCAAUCUCAUCCCAAGAGAACAGCGCUUGGGUGGCUUCAGAGGGUGAUCGGGAACAAGCGCUGUCUGUGCUAUGUGGAUGGGGUAACUCCCAAUCUGCCUGCAUUGCCUGGAAGGAGGAGUGCUGGUG
This is a long non-coding RNA of Chelonia mydas (Green sea turtle), 1013 nucleotides long. RefSeq lists it as uncharacterized. The record is from RefSeq and is a predicted model, not a curated record. NCBI's taxonomy places the organism in Eukaryota, Metazoa, Chordata, Testudines, Cheloniidae. The transcript has 3 exons.